RNAcentral lists this long non-coding RNA (418 nucleotides) under Linum usitatissimum (flax). Its description in RNAcentral is "long non-coding RNA (LUSI_LNC002418)". The record is from RNAcentral. Lineage: Eukaryota; Viridiplantae; Streptophyta; Magnoliopsida; Malpighiales; Linaceae.
AGCUUGUUAGAUUUGUAAUAAUGAAAGUGUGUCUUAGCAAUUAAUUCGUACAGUUGGGGCAAUGCUAAUUUCUGCUAUAAAAUGAGACGCAAACAGAAGGAAUACGAACACACAGAGCUGUGGAGGCAGCAGAACAUCACCACAGAGCUGCGGAGGCAGCAGCAUCACAUACCACCACCAAACAUAAUGUUUUAGUUUGUAGUUAAAUUUGUUUAUAUUUUUGGUGUACGGUUAAAGUGUAACAGUGUGGCGAGAAGCGAAUCUGUAUUCUAUCCAUACAUCAACAUUCACGAUAUAUAUUUGUAGCUUCUCAUUGCUAAUAUUUAUUUUAAUUUUGUGUAUUAUUAUUAUUUUCAUUAUGAACUAAUUUUUUAUCCCGGGAAAUUUGAUGAAAUAAGUUAAAUUAUUGUGUGUUAAA